UUCGCCCUUAGAGUUUGAUCCUGGCUCAGGACGAACGCUGGCGGCGUGCCUAACACAUGCAAGUCGAACGAAGCUUGAUUUCUGAUUUUUUCGGAAUGACGAAUGAUAUGACUGAGUGGCGGACGGGUGAGUAACGCGUGAGCAACCUGCCCUUCGGAACGGGAUAGUGUCUGGAAACGGACAGUAAUACCGUAUAACAUAUAUUGAUCGCAUGGUUGAUAUAUCAAAACUGAGGUGCCGAAGGAUGGGCUCGCGUCUGAUUAGAUAGUUGGUGGGGUAACGGCCUACCAAGUCGACGAUCAGUAGCCGGACUGAGAGGUUGAACGGCCACAUUGGGACUGAGACACGGCCCAGACUCCUACGGGAGGCAGCAGUGGGGAAUAUUGCACAAUGGGGGAAACCCUGAUGCAGCAACGCCGCGUGAAGGAAGACGGUUUUCGGAUUGUAAACUUCUGUUCUUAGUGAAGAAUAAUGACGGCAGCUAAGGAGCAAGCCACGGCUAACUACGUGCCAGCAGCCGCGGUAAUACGUAGGUGGCAAGCGUUGUCCGGAAUUACUGGGUGUAAAGGGAGCGUAGGCGGGAUGCCAAGUCAGCUGUGAAAACUAUGGGCUUAACUUGUAGACUGCAGUUGAAACUGGUAUUCUUGAGUGAAGUAGAGGUUGGCGGAAUUCCGAGUGUAGCGGUGAAAUGCGUAGAUAUUCGGAGGAACACCGGUGGCGAAGGCGGCCAACUGGGCUUUAACUGACGCUGAGGCUCGAAAGUGUGGGGAGCAAACAGGAUUAGAUACCCUGGUAGUCCACACUGUAAACGAUGAUAACAAGGUGUGGGGGGUCUGACCCCUUCCGUGCCGCAGCUAACGCAAUAAGUUACUCCACCUGGGGAGUACGAACCGCAAGGUUGAAAACUCAAAGGAAUUGACGGGGACCCGCACAAGCAGUGGAUUAUGUGGUUUAAUUCGAAGCAACGCGAAGAACCUUACCAGCACUUGACAUCCGACUAACGAAGUAGAGAUACAUUAGGUGCCCUUCGGGGAAAGUCGAGACAGGUGGUGCAUGGUUGUCGUCAGCUCGUGUCGUGAGAUGUUGGGUUAAGUCCCGCAACGAGCGCAACCCCUGCCAUUAGUUGUUACGCAAGAGCACUCUAAUGGGACCGCUACCGACAAGGUGGAGGAAGGUGGGGACGACGUCAAAUCAUCAUGCCCCUUAUGUGCUGGGCUACACACGUAAUACAAUGGCCAUCAACAAAGAGAAGCAAUACCGCGAGGUGGAGCAAAACUAUAAAAAUGGUCUCAGUUCGGACUGCAGGCUGCAACUCGCCUGCACGAAGUCGGAAUUGCUAGUAAUCGUGGAUCAGCAUGCCACGGUGAAUACGUUCCCGGGCCUUGUACACACCGCCCGUCA
This 1401-nucleotide ribosomal RNA is filed under the name uncultured bacterium. RNAcentral's name for it is "16S ribosomal RNA". It matches the Rfam family "Bacterial small subunit ribosomal RNA". The record is from RNAcentral.